Molecule: non-coding RNA, 19 nt
Filed under: Mus musculus (house mouse)
Lineage: Eukaryota; Metazoa; Chordata; Mammalia; Rodentia; Muridae
Source: RNAcentral
GCCUUGGCUGUCCUGGAAC